RNAcentral lists this transfer RNA (76 nucleotides) under Candidatus Anoxymicrobium japonicum. Its description in RNAcentral is "Actinobacteria bacterium HGW-Actinobacteria-3 tRNA-Thr". It matches the Rfam family "tRNA". Rfam says of the family: Transfer RNA (tRNA) molecules are approximately 80 nucleotides in length. Their secondary structure includes four short double-helical elements and three loops (D, anti-codon, and T loops). Further hydrogen bonds mediate the characteristic L-shaped molecular structure. tRNAs have two regions of fundamental functional importance: the anti-codon, which is responsible for specific mRNA codon recognition, and the 3' end, to which the tRNAs corresponding amino acid is attached (by aminoacyl-tRNA synthetases). tRNAs cope with the degeneracy of the genetic code in two manners: having more than one tRNA (with a specific anti-codon) for a particular amino acid; and 'wobble' base-pairing, i.e. permitting non-standard base-pairing at the 3rd anti-codon position. Lineage: Bacteria; Bacillati; Actinomycetota; Candidatus Geothermincolia; Candidatus Geothermincolales; Candidatus Anoxymicrobiaceae. The record is from RNAcentral. RNAcentral also lists the same sequence under 4 other names.
GCCGGUGUAGCUCAGUCGGUAGAGCGGCUCACUCGUAAUGAGCAGGUCCGCGGUUCGAAUCCGCGCGCCGGCUCCA